AGUGAACGCUGGCGGUAGGCCUAACACAUGCAAGUCGAACGGCAGCACAGUAAGAGCUUGCUCUUACGGGUGGCGAGUGGCGGACGGGUGAGGAAUACAUCGGAAUCUACUUUUUCGUGGGGGAUAACGUAGGGAAACUUACGCUAAUACCGCAUACGACCUACGGGUGAAAGCAGGGGAUCUUCGGACCUUGCGCGAUUGAAUGAGCCGAUGUCGGAUUAGCUAGUUGGCGGGGUAAAGGCCCACCAAGGCGACGAUCCGUAGCUGUCUGAGAGGAUGAUCAGCCACACUGGAACUGAGACACGGUCCAGACUCCUACGGGAGGCAGCAGUGGGGAAUAUUGGACAAUGGGCGCAAGCCUGAUCCAGCCAUACCGCGUGGGUGAAGAAGGCCUUCGGGUUGUAAAGCCCUUUUGUCGGGAAAGAAAAGCAGCAGGUUAAUACCCCGCUGUUCUGACGGUACCCAAAGAAUAAGCACCGGCUAACUUCGUG
RNAcentral lists this ribosomal RNA (491 nucleotides) under uncultured bacterium. RNAcentral describes it as "partial 16S ribosomal RNA". It matches the Rfam family "Bacterial small subunit ribosomal RNA", at positions 29 to 507 of the family's 1533-position model. The record is from RNAcentral.